AGCUCGUGUCGUGAGAUGUUGGUUAAGUCCGCCAACGAGCGCAACCUUCGUUCUUAUGUUGCCAGCACGUGAUGGUGGGGACGUCGUAAGAGACUGCCGGGUCGAACUCGGAGGAAGGUGGGGACGGACGUCAAGUCAUCAUGCCCCUUAUGUCCAGGGCUUCACACAUGCUACAAUGGCCAGUACAGAGGGCUGCGAGACCGUGAGGUGGAGCGAAUCCCUUAAAGCUGGUCUCAGUUCGGAUCAGGGUCUGCAACUCGACCCCGUGAAGUCGGAGUCGUUAGUAAUCGCAGAUCAGCAACGCUGCGGUGAAUACGUUCCCGGGCCUU
RNAcentral lists this ribosomal RNA (329 nucleotides) under uncultured Rhodococcus sp. RNAcentral's name for it is "bacterial SSU rRNA". It matches the Rfam family "Bacterial small subunit ribosomal RNA", at positions 1057 to 1382 of the family's 1533-position model. Lineage: Bacteria; Bacillati; Actinomycetota; Actinomycetes; Mycobacteriales; Nocardiaceae. The record is from RNAcentral.